This 320-nucleotide long non-coding RNA is filed under the name Rattus norvegicus (Norway rat). RNAcentral's name for it is "long non-coding RNA NONRATT032504". Lineage: Eukaryota; Metazoa; Chordata; Mammalia; Rodentia; Muridae. The record is from RNAcentral.
CACAGCCACUGUCUACUCUGGGAGUUUCUUGUGAAAAGGAGUGACUUCUUGUCACUUACCGAGCUUGUCUCUGAACAGCAGUAUGCCCAUGGACUGCAGGUAGGUCCACGGGGUUUACCAUAUCAAAUCAUGAAAGAGGACAUAGUUUCUAUCUAGUCUUCUGGAGACACUUCUCUGGGAACACACGAGAUGCUGGGAUGUAUCCUGGGACACACAGUCAAUCCAGGUGUCAAUGUUGCUGCUACGGCUGCCAGGGAACAGAAGCCUAGACUGUGCAGCUGAGUUAUGCUGGCCAUAGGGCUGCAAGAACACCAUGGGAG